This 3167-nucleotide ribosomal RNA is filed under the name Saccharomyces cerevisiae (brewer's yeast). It matches the Rfam family "Bacterial large subunit ribosomal RNA". The record is from RNAcentral. Lineage: Eukaryota; Fungi; Ascomycota; Saccharomycetes; Saccharomycetales; Saccharomycetaceae.
AAUCAUGGAGUAUAAUAAUUAAAUUUAAUAAAUUUAAUAUAACUAUUAAUAGAAUUAGGUUACUAAUAAAUUAAUAACAAUUAAUUUUAAAACCUAAAGGUAAACCUUUAUAUUAAUAAUGUUUUUUUUUUAUUAUUUUUUAUAAUAAGAAUAAUUAUUAAUAAUAAUAAACUAAGUGAACUGAAACAUCUAAGUAACUUAAGGAUAAGAAAUCAACAGAGAUAUUAUGAGUAUUGGUGAGAGAAAAUAAUAAAGGUCUAAUAAGUAUUAUGUGAAAAAAAUGUAAGAAAAUAGGAUAACAAAUUCUAAGACUAAAUACUAUUAAUAAGUAUAGUAAGUACCGUAAGGGAAAGUAUGAAAAUGAUUAUUUUAUAAGCAAUCAUGAAUAUAUUAUAUUAUAUUAAUGAUGUACCUUUUGUAUAAUGGGUCAGCAAGUAAUUAAUAUUAGUAAAACAAUAAGUUAUAAAUAAAUAGAAUAAUAUAUAUAUAUAUAAAAAUAUAUUAAAAUAUUUAAUUAAUAUUAAUUGACCCGAAAGCAAACGAUCUAACUAUGAUAAGAUGGAUAAACGAUCGAACAGGUUGAUGUUGCAAUAUCAUCUGAUUAAUUGUGGUUAGUAGUGAAAGACAAAUCUGGUUUGCAGAUAGCUGGUUUUCUAUGAAAUAUAUGUAAGUAUAGCCUUUAUAAAUAAUAAUUAUUAUAUAAUAUUAUAUUAAUAUUAUAUAAAGAAUGGUACAGCAAUUAAUAUAUAUUAGGGAACUAUUAAAGUUUUAUUAAUAAUAUUAAAUCUCGAAAUAUUUAAUUAUAUAUAAUAAAGAGUCAGAUUAUGUGCGAUAAGGUAAAUAAUCUAAAGGGAAACAGCCCAGAUUAAGAUAUAAAGUUCCUAAUAAAUAAUAAGUGAAAUAAAUAUUAAAAUAUUAUAAUAUAAUCAGUUAAUGGGUUUGACAAUAACCAUUUUUUAAUGAACAUGUAACAAUGCACUGAUUUAUAAUAAAUAAAAAAAAAAUAAUAUUUAAAAUCAAAUAUAUAUAUAUUUGUUAAUAGAUAAUAUACGGAUCUUAAUAAUAAGAAUUAUUUAAUUCCUAAUAUGGAAUAUUAUAUUUUUAUAAUAAAAAUAUAAAUACUGAAUAUCUAAAUAUUAUUAUUACUUUUUUUUUAAUAAUAAUAAUAUGGUAAUAGAACAUUUAAUGAUAAUAUAUAUUAGUUAUUAAUUAAUAUAUGUAUUAAUUAAAUAGAGAAUGCUGACAUGAGUAACGAAAAAAAGGUAUAAACCUUUUCACCUAAAACAUAAGGUUUAACUAUAAAAGUACGGCCCCUAAUUAAAUUAAUAAGAAUAUAAAUAUAUUUAAGAUGGGAUAAUCUAUAUUAAUAAAAAUUUUAUCUUAAAAUAUAUAUAUUAUUAAUAAUUAUAUUAAUAAUAUAUAUAAUUAUAUUAUAUAUUUUUUUUUAUAUAAUAUAAACUAAUAAAGAUCAGGAAAUAAUUAAUGUAUACCGUAAUGUAGACCGACUCAGGUAUGUAAGUAGAGAAUAUGAAGGUGAAUUAGAUAAUUAAAGGGAAGGAACUCGGCAAAGAUAGCUCAUAAGUUAGUCAAUAAAGAGUAAUAAGAACAAAGUUGUACAACUGUUUACUAAAAACACCGCACUUUGCAGAAACGAUAAGUUUAAGUAUAAGGUGUGAACUCUGCUCCAUGCUUAAUAUAUAAAUAAAAUUAUUUAACGAUAAUUUAAUUAAAUUUAGGUAAAUAGCAGCCUUAUUAUGAGGGUUAUAAUGUAGCGAAAUUCCUUGGCCUAUAAUUGAGGUCCCGCAUGAAUGACGUAAUGAUACAACAACUGUCUCCCCUUUAAGCUAAGUGAAAUUUAAAUCGUAGUGAAGAUGCUAUGUACCUUCAGCAAGACGGAAAGACCCUAUGCAGCUUUACUGUAAUUAGAUAGAUCGAAUUAUUGUUUAUUAUAUUCAGCAUAUUAAGUAAUCCUAUUAUUAGGUAAUCGUUUAGAUAUUAAUGAGAUACUUAUUAUAAUAUAAUGAUAAUUCUAAUCUUAUAAAUAAUUAUUAUUAUUAUUAUUAAUAAUAAUAAUAAUAUGCUUUCAAGCAUAGUGAUAAAACAUAUUUAUAUGAUAAUCACUUUACUUAAUAGAUAUAAUUCUUAAGUAAUAUAUAAUAUAUAUUAUAUAUAUAUUAUAUAUAAUAUAAGAGACAAUCUCUAAUUGGUAGUUUUGAUGGGGCGUCAUUAUCAGCAAAAGUAUCUGAAUAAGUCCAUAAAUAAAUAUAUAAAAUUAUUGAAUAAAAAAAAUAAUAUAUAUUAUAUAUAUUAAUUAUAAAUUGAAAUAUGUUUAUAUAAAUUUAUAUUUAUUGAAUAUAUUUUAGUAAUAGAUAAAAAUAUGUACAGUAAAAUUGUAAGGAAAACAAUAAUAACUUUCUCCUCUCUCGGUGGGGGUUCACACCUAUUUUUAAUAGGUGUUCACCCCUCUUCGGGGUUCCGGUUCCCUUUCGGGUCCCGGAACUUAAAAAUAAUUAUGGAAAGAAUUAAAUUAAUAUAAUGGUAUAACUGUGCGAUAAUUGUAACACAAACGAGUGAAACAAGUACGUAAGUAUGGCAUAAUGAACAAAUAACACUGAUUGUAAAGGUUAUUGAUAACGAAUAAAAGUUACGCUAGGGAUAACAGGGUAAUAUAACGAAAGAGUAGAUAUUGUAAGUUAUGUUUGCCACCUCGAUGUCGACUCAACAUUUCCUCUUGGUUGUAAAAGCUAAGAAGGGUUUGACUGUUCGUCAAUUAAAAUGUUACGUGAGUUGGGUUAAAUACGAUGUGAAUCAGUAUGGUUCCUAUCUGCUGAAGGAAAUAUUAUCAAAUUAAAUCUCAUUAUUAGUACGCAAGGACCAUAAUGAAUCAACCCAUGGUGUAUCUAUUGAUAAUAAUAUAAUAUAUUUAAUAAAAAUAAUACUUUAUUAAUAUAUUAUCUAUAUUAGUUUAUAUUUUAAUUAUAUAUUAUCAUAGUAGAUAAGCUAAGUUGAUAAUAAAUAAAUAUUGAAUACAUAUUAAAUAUGAAGUUGUUUUAAUAAGAUAAUUAAUCUGAUAAUUUUAUACUAAAAUUAAUAAUUAUAGGUUUUAUAUAUUAUUUAUAAAUAAAUAUAUUAUAAUAAUAAUAAUUAUUAUUAUUAAUAAAAAAUAU